GAGGGAUUCGGUGGUGCACGUGCCCGCCUCUAGCAACUUUGACGGACGGUCGAUCAGAGCUCAUAACUCAGAAGGUGGCUUUCUUGAGCGAGGUGAUGGUGACCGACGACCCCAGCGCGGAGGCGCCGACCUGGACGUCGAAGGAGUCGUAGCGGAGGAAGAGCUCGGCGACGAGAAGGCGCGCGAUGAGCACGACGAAGUCCUUGCCGGCGCACUGCUUGUCCUGCAGCGUGGGCGACGCCGUCUCGGGCCCGUUGGACCAGACGACGUGGCGGAGCAGCUGCGCGCCGUCCUCCCCGAGGAACCUGUCGGGCACGUACUCCUCGGCGCGCGCGAAGACGCGCGGGUCCUUGGUGGCCAUGGGCUGGUAGCCGAAGAGCAUCUCGCCCUCGCGCACCUCGAAGCCGUAGUCGUGGCUCUCCACCACCAUGUCCCGCUUGGCGCGGCCGUACUGCAUGGCCACGGGGGGCUCGAUGCGCAGCGCCUCGUACACGGCCGACUCCACCAGCGGCAUCUCCGCCAGCGCCUUCAUGGUGACCUCGCCGGCGUGGGCGCGCACGGCGUCGCGCACCUCCGUGGCCAGCCGGCCGUGCGCGCGCGCGCCGGCGCGGCCCAGCCACUUGACGAGCGACGGGAACAGGAUUUUCAUGCCGCCGAAGGAGUUGAAGCACGUGGCGAAGAGGAUGUUGUGCACCGCCUCCUCCCGCGCAAUGCCGAGGCGCUCGCCCUCGUCGACCACGCUCCUGGCCGCGUCGCGGAAGAAGUCGGCGAGCCGGCCGUAGUCCUUCCUGACCAGCGCCGGCGGGAGGCGGAACGAGUGGAGCAGGGAGUCCUCGAGGUGCUUGGGCAGGCCGAGGCUGAGCAGCGGGCUGAGCUGGAACAGCACCCACUUGGUGAUCAGCUUGGGCCCGUCGCCCUGGAGCGCGGACUCGGCGGGGUCGCGCCCCAGCAGCGCCUGGCAGAGGAAGGAGAAGGCGGCGGCGUCGUUGUGGUGGCCGAAGUCGGCCUUGCCGACCCGGGCGAGCUCGUUCUCCACGACCCCGAAGAGGUCGCCGUACACCUCGCGGAACUUGGGGAUCACGUGCUGCCGGCGGUGCGAGAGGAGGUAGAAGAGGAGCGCCUUGAGCGGGCCGUGGCUGGGCUCGGCGGGGUCGAGGUACGAGAGCACGCGGUAGCCGCCGGUGAGGUCGGUGGAGGGCAUGAAGGUGCCCGUGAACAGGUCCGUCUUGUCGACGAGCGAGGUGUCGAAGAGCACCGGGAAGGAGGCGGCGUCCAGGAGCGCCACCACGCGCGGGUCGCGCGCCACGAAGGGGCCCGGCGGCAUGUUGAGCCGCACCACGGUGGAGCCGUGCGCGCGCACGCGGGAGGCGAAGAAGCCGUCGCGGCCGCCCGGCCCGUAGAAGUACUCGAACCGGUCGCGGACCGCGCCCAGCACCGGCGGGCCGUAGUCACCCGGCACCUCCCGCAGCGGGAGCCGGCGCUUCGGGGACAGCACCUCGCGCGGGCGGUCCGUCGCCGCCGACGCGCCCGCCCUGGUCGUCUGCCGCCGCAGGCGGGCGCGUGAUGACGGCGGCGGCGGCGGCGAGGAGAAGGAGAAGGAGGAGGGGAGGUAGGUCGCCGUGGCCAUCUGUUGAUCUAUCUGCUCGCGGACCGGCGCCGAAGUGUGGUGCGGUAUGCUAGAACGGACAGCGAGUGACGUGUGCAGUGGCGCUUUGCCGGUGUGGUUAUGAAUAAGGCGAGCGUGUCAGUACUGAGCCUCGACUGCGUUUUUAAAAGCGGGUGGGGAGGAGCAGAAGGUAGUUGCCUGUCGGCUGCGCGCGUCGGGGUGAGAAACGUGGUGGGCUUGAUGGCGCUUCGUCUAUUCUUGAUCCCGAGCGCCUUCAGUCCUUCACGGUCACCGGGGAGGCGGG
RNAcentral lists this unclassified non-coding RNA (1910 nucleotides) under Zea mays. Its description in RNAcentral is "misc RNA Zm00001eb058680". The record is from RNAcentral. Lineage: Eukaryota; Viridiplantae; Streptophyta; Magnoliopsida; Poales; Poaceae.